AAUAAAGUGCCUGAAUAAAGGAUUAUUCUGAUAGAAUAAAUAAUGUAAUUUUUUUACCUUUAUUA
Molecule: transfer RNA, 65 nt
Filed under: Cameraria ohridella
Lineage: Eukaryota; Metazoa; Arthropoda; Insecta; Lepidoptera; Gracillariidae
Description: tRNA-Ile
Source: RNAcentral